UACGGAGGGGGCAAGCGUUACUCGGAAUUAUUGGGCGUAAAGGGCGCGUAGGCGGUCUUGCGCGUCGGAGGUGAAAUCCCCGAGCUUAACUCGGGGCCGGCCUCCGAAACGGCGAGACUUGAGUCCGGGAGAGGGGAGCAGAAUUCCCAGUGUAGCGGUGAAAUGCGUAGAUACUGGGAGGAAUACCAGUGGCGAAGGCGGCUCCCUGGACCGGUACUGACGCUGAGGCGCGAAAGCGUGGGUAGCAAACAGG
Molecule: ribosomal RNA, 253 nt
Filed under: uncultured bacterium
Lineage: Bacteria
Description: partial 16S ribosomal RNA
Rfam family: Bacterial small subunit ribosomal RNA
Source: RNAcentral